Molecule: ribosomal RNA, 465 nt
Filed under: Escherichia coli
Lineage: Bacteria; Pseudomonadati; Pseudomonadota; Gammaproteobacteria; Enterobacterales; Enterobacteriaceae
Description: partial 23S ribosomal RNA
Rfam family: Bacterial large subunit ribosomal RNA
Source: RNAcentral
ACGGGAGACACACGGCGGGUGCUAACGUCCGUCGUGAAGAGGGAAACAACCCAGACCGCCAGCUAAGGUCCCAAAGUCAUGGUUAAGUGGGAAACGAUGUGGGAAGGCCCAGACAGCCAGGAUGUUGGCUUAGAAGCAGCCAUCAUUUAAAGAAAGCGUAAUAGCUCACUGGUCGAGUCGGCCUGCGCGGAAGAUGUAACGGGGCUAAACCAUGCACCGAAGCUGCGGCAGCGACGCUUAUGCGUUGUUGGGUAGGGGAGCGUUCUGUAAGCCUGCGAAGGUGUGCUGUGAGGCAUGCUGGAGGUAUCAGAAGUGCGAAUGCUGACAUAAGUAACGAUAAAGCGGGUGAAAAGCCCGCUCGCCGGAAGACCAAGGGUUCCUGUCCAACGUUAAUCGGGGCAGGGUGAGUCGACCCCUAAGGCGAGGCCGAAAGGCGUAGUCGAUGGGAAACAGGUUAAUAUUCCU